AUCGAAGAUUUGUGUGCCUAUAUUUGCCGCUCUGGGAAUUAGCUAAUUGAGAAAAACAGACUAAACUAAAAAUAAUAUUUCCUUAUUGUUAUUAUUUAAUAGUAGUUAAUAGUAGUUAAUAAUAAUUUUCACACAUGCCAUUCUUUUUAUGCAAGAUAACCUAAAUGGGUUUAUUAGAGACGUUUGUAUAAAAUGGGUACAAACAGAACAGUUUAAAAUACUCUCUUUUUUUCUUGAAGAUAGAUUGUUAGGACAUUUAUUACAUGUAAGUUAACAUGGCAACACUGUAAAAUAAAUUAGUUCUUCAUCUCUCUGAAGGGCCAUUUUGUUAAAAAUUCAUGAGCUGACUGUUUUCUGUGGCAUACAGAUUUCUGACUAUUGCACCGCCCAGUAAAAGUUACUGGCUAGCACUUUCUUUAAACUCUUCAGAGCGCAUCACUUUAUCUUAGGCACUGGAAAGAAGAAUCAUGCUACUUACACAUUUUACAAUCUUUAUUUUGAUGUGUGGAUUUUAUUCCCGAUUUCAUGCUAUCGCACAUGCACAAAUUCAAACAGUUCAGACCCAAAAAGAAGUUCAGCGUGGAUCUGACGUGUCUUUGCGAUGUGAUGUCCGUCUUCUGUCUAAAUCCUCCACAUUGAACUGGGAGAAAGAUGGAGAACACACACCCAACAGCACUCUGAUGUACAACAACUCUGCCUACAUCAUCUUACACACCGUUGAUGAACGCAAUAAAGGGAAUUAUUACUGUAGAUUGAUGGAAGAUGGAAGCGUACAAACUGUUAGGAUUCACACACUUAAUGUUACUUCAAAUUUAUAUGGAAGUCAAACCAUUUACAGACAAAGCCCCUUUCACAUCUCACCUGUGAACUUCAAUUAUAGUGGGACAUACAGGUGUAUUACUGAAAACACAAUCUACACAACCACAAUACCAUGCACCAUUAGAGUGGAGCCCCCUGAUGGUGUGUUGAGGAGUCAGUCAGUGGUUCUUACCUGUGAGGUAUCUGAAGUAACUGAUUCAGUGACGCUGGUCUGGUUUAGGAUGGAGGGGAACAGAGGAGUGCUGGUCAAACAGCAAAAUUAUGACUGAGAAAAACAACAUGUUACGUCUCACAGUGAAUCUAGCCAGCUAUGAAACAGACCCGCUGCACUGGCAGUGUGCAGUUUUUACUGAGAAUACACUCAGAGCUCUGGCCCCUAUAACAAUCAGUUGUAACUCAUCAGAAAACUCAACUGUAACAAACCAAGUAAACAACAAUCAUGCAAACACACUAUUUUGGUGUGUUUUGACUCUAUUUACUGGGAUUCUCCUUGGAGCUCUAAUGUAUAACUGCUACAGGAAACGAAAGUCAGUGCAGUCUGGCCCUCAGGAGUCUGAACCAGUCUAUAUCAAUAGCAGCCAAAUGAGGAAUGAUAGAGGUAUUUAAAUCAACAAAAUAUUUUUCAUAGCAUCGGUAUAGAAACCUUCAGGCAACCCUAGCAUCAUGUUGACUAUUGUUCACAAGCUUUCCAAAAAAUUUGUUGAUCUAUUAUUCUUCAUCCUCUUCCAGUAGGAAAUUUAAUAUAAAUGAUGUGUUUAUUAGGUUUUGGUCCAUCUCCAUUCAAGUAGGUAUAGUGCUUUACUCAAUAGAAACUAAAAUAGCACAUUUAUAUUGCACAUUAACCUCUGUGUUCUUUACAAUGAGAAAUCUAUGUUAAAAAUAUGAUUAUGAUUAAUUUCCAGGAGAUGACAGCUGGUUUAAAACCAGUCAUGCAAGUUCAGAGGUGUUGGACAGCAGUACUACAGUCAUCUACUAUCAACUACUGAAGCACAGUGAGCCUUGACACUGGACAUUCUUGUACAAAACUUUGUAUUACUUUUAUUAUUAUUAUUAUUAUUAUAAUUAUUGAAUGUAGUUAAAAAGAGCAAAUAAAUCUUGUAUUAAUAAUAGCGAGCUAGUCAAUCUUGGUUUGCUUUUUUUGGUAUAUGAAUGAAAAUUUUGCUCUUUGCUCAAGUGCAUUAUUGGAGUGCUCAGUCUGUAAGCAAAGGGUCUUUGGGUUUCACUUGAAUAGGAAACACAAAUGCAUCACCAGCACUAUCUCUGAGUAUAAUCAGAUCAAUAUGCUCACAGAAAUAAACCUCAAUGUGGUUUCAUGACACACAACUGAGUUAAAUGUAGCACAGUAUUUCCUGUUAUGGAAAAAAAAACUAAGAUGAUUUAGCCUUGCAAAAACAUUUCAAGUAAGAAUGAAAAAAUAAAUAUAUUUUAAUUGCAAGCAUUUAAAAACCAUGAGAUAUUCAUGAAAAAAAAAUAAUAAUGACAU
Cyprinus carpio (common carp) is the source of this 2302-nucleotide long non-coding RNA. RefSeq lists it as uncharacterized. The record is from RefSeq and is a predicted model, not a curated record. Lineage: Eukaryota; Metazoa; Chordata; Actinopteri; Cypriniformes; Cyprinidae. The transcript has 8 exons.